UGAUAACCUGGUAGGUUCUUCUAGGUGAAUCAAAAUUGCAUAAAAAAUUUAAGAAAAUAAAGUUCAGAAAAGAAAAGAAAAAGAAAUAACACCAAGAAACACAACUAUGCCACAGUUCAUCAACUCCCAAAAACCGGUUGAUUCAUACCUCCUGGAACUGAAUAGUCUCCCCCGCCUCCAAGCUCCCAAGUUCGAUAUCGCGUAAGCGAGACUCUUCAUGAAUAACUUCAUUACCAAUCAGCCAUCCCAAAAAUCCUACAUAUAUAAUAAAAUAGAUGGCUGAAAAUACGAAGACAAAUCCGACACAUUCGGUCCCAAGCCAUAUUAUGUAAUCACGGCGGGUGUCGAACGAAAACGGAGGAGCAGCCAUAGAAUCCACAGGUGGGUUA
RNAcentral lists this long non-coding RNA (389 nucleotides) under Brassica napus (rape). RNAcentral describes it as "long non-coding RNA (BNAP_LNC002945)". Lineage: Eukaryota; Viridiplantae; Streptophyta; Magnoliopsida; Brassicales; Brassicaceae. The record is from RNAcentral.